AGUAACGCGUGAGCAAUCUGCCUUUAANAGGGGGAGUAACAGUCGGAAACGGCUGCUAAUACCGCAUAAAGCAUCAAAUUCGCAUGUUUUUGAUGCCAAAGGAGCAAUCCGCUUUUAGAUGAGCUCGCGUCUGAUUAGCUGGUUGGCGGGGUAACGGCCCACCAAGGCGACGAUCAGUAGCCGGACUGAGAGGUUGAACGGCCACAUUGGGACUGAGACACGGCCCAGACUCCUACGGGAGGCAGCAUG
This 249-nucleotide ribosomal RNA is filed under the name uncultured bacterium. Its description in RNAcentral is "partial 16S ribosomal RNA". It matches the Rfam family "Bacterial small subunit ribosomal RNA", at positions 109 to 353 of the family's 1533-position model. The record is from RNAcentral.